RNAcentral lists this ribosomal RNA (452 nucleotides) under uncultured archaeon. RNAcentral's name for it is "bacterial SSU rRNA". It matches the Rfam family "Archaeal small subunit ribosomal RNA", at positions 44 to 473 of the family's 1478-position model. The record is from RNAcentral.
CUAAGACAUGCGAGUCGAGCGUCUCUAGCUAUGUUGAGACGCGGCAGACGGCUCAGUAACACGUGGCUAACCUACCCUCAGGACAAGUACAAACCCGGGAAACUGGGGCUAAUACUCGAUAGGCGAAGGCGCCUGGAAUGGUUCUUCACCCAAAGGGCUUUAGAAACAUGCUUCUAGAGUCGCCUGGGGAUGGGGCCGCGUCCGAUCAGGUUGUUGGUGAGGUAACGGCUCACCAAGCCUAUAACCGGUACGGGCCGUGAGAGCGGUAGCCCGGAGAUGGGUACUGAGACAAGGACCCAGGCCCUACGGGGCGCAGCAGUCGCGAAAACUCCGCAAUGCACGAAAGUGUGACGGGGCUACCCCGAGUGCCGUCCGCUGAGGAUGGCUUUUCCUUGGUGUAACUAGCCGGGGGAAUAAGGAGAGGGCAGGACUGGUGUCAGCCGCCGCGGUAA